RNAcentral lists this transfer RNA (75 nucleotides) under Candidatus Berkelbacteria bacterium. Its description in RNAcentral is "tRNA-Thr". It matches the Rfam family "tRNA". From Rfam's summary of the family: Transfer RNA (tRNA) molecules are approximately 80 nucleotides in length. Their secondary structure includes four short double-helical elements and three loops (D, anti-codon, and T loops). Lineage: Bacteria; Candidatus Berkelbacteria. The record is from RNAcentral.
GCCGAAGUAGCUCAGCGGCAGAGCAGCACUUUUGUAAAGUGACGGUCGUGGGUUCAAAUCCCACCUUCGGCUCCA